CACUAUAGAGUCUGUCUAACUCUAGGACUGCUUAAAGGAAAGAUAAUCACAAUUGCUACAACAUCAGAGGAUUGUUGAAAAAAGAGAAUGAGCAAGAUAAAGGAAUCCUGGUUUCAUGCUGGAUUCCCAGAAUCCCUUCACAUUAGCCCCCCAGAAGCUUCAGGGAUUGCAUACAAACUCUGGUGACUUCAGAGGUGGUGCUGAUUUCACAUUUGUUCCCGGGACACGAUGAGAGACACAGGAGCCAAAGGAAACACCACCCACAGCAGCGUUCCAGUUGUAACCGAUGUUUGCCUGAGUUUACUUGCUUGUGAUGCAGACAGGUGCACAUUAAAAAUAAUAAUCUUCGAUUCUCUCUGGUUCUUGCUUCUAGAAGCCAAUGCAAGGCCUUCAUCAUCUUCAUUUCAAGGCUUAGGCCGAGUUUCCUGGGAAUCCUGUGAAUCCUUGGAGAAGUCGAUGCUCCAGAUGUGCUUCCAAGUUGAGCGGCUCACCAGCAACCUGAACUUCGCGACGUUUUUGUUUCUCCUUGCAUUUGCAUUCUCAGGGACAGGAGGUUCCGUCGCAAUUGUCCUGGGUUCCAGCCCAUCAAAGCCAGUGAUCAAAAGAGCACAAAGGACACUGGGCACUUGAAGAAUAAGAAAAGGAGUGGCUGAAUGUGGGGACUAGACACAGAAGGGAAGUGGCUGCAAAGGGGGAGAGGGGACGGGGGAG
RNAcentral lists this long non-coding RNA (711 nucleotides) under Sus scrofa (pig). RNAcentral describes it as "lncRNA (ENSSSCG00025076874.1)". The record is from RNAcentral. Lineage: Eukaryota; Metazoa; Chordata; Mammalia; Artiodactyla; Suidae.